AGAUUUUGGACUUAUGAUAUUUGAUUUGAAAUCAAGUUAAUUGCUUUUGAUGAUAGCAACGUGAGUUUG
RNAcentral lists this transfer RNA (69 nucleotides) under Taenia asiatica. RNAcentral describes it as "tRNA-Ser". Lineage: Eukaryota; Metazoa; Platyhelminthes; Cestoda; Cyclophyllidea; Taeniidae. The record is from RNAcentral.